UCUGAAGACAGCUACAGUGUACUCAUAUAUAAUAAAUCUUUUAAAAAAAGAGUACCAUAAUGUAUGUAUGUACGUAUAUAUGUAUGUAUCUUUUCUCAUUUUUUUCCUCUGUGCAACCCUGGCUGUCUUGCAGUUCACUCUGUAGAUCAGGCUGGCGUCAAACUCAGAGAUGUUCCCGCCUCUGCCUCCAGAGUGAGUCCUGGGAUUAAAGGCACUUACUACCUUUACCACCACCCAGUUUACAAUAAUUUCUUAAUCAAAAUAAAAAAGGGCUUGGGAGGUGACUCAUGGCAGACACAUGCCUAACAUACUGGGGGCCCCAAGUUUAAGUCCCCAGCACUACAAAAGAUAGAAAUAAGAAGGUACAAAAAUUAAAUUUGAAAAUCUCUUAGCAUGUUGCCAGUACUAACCUUAAGAACAAUGAGGUCAUAAUGACUCAGAUGAAAGGUAUUUCAAACAUCUUGUAUUAUUCUCAUUCUGUAGAAAAUAGGAAUAAAGGAAAUUGGACUGUGGAAUGUAGCUAGUCAGGUUAGAGUGCUUGCCUAGAGUGCAGGAAGCCUGGGUGUGGGGGCUUAGCGUACACUAUGCUUGUUAGCACAUCCCUAUCAUCCCAGCACUCAAGGACAGUGGCAGGUCGAUCUCUGUGAGCUCAAGCCCAGCCUGCUCUAGAGUGAGUCUAAGAUAGCCAGGGCUACACAGAGAAACCCUGUCUUGAAAAAUCAAGCCAAAAGGAAUAGGAGGAGGAAGAGAGGAGAGAGAGAGAGAGAGAGAGAGAGAGAGAGAGAGAGAGAGAGAGAGAGAGAGAGAGAGUUCAUAUUUAGCUGUUUAGUGGUUUGGGGGUUGGGGGGCAUCCUAGACUCCAAAAGAUGCCAAUUCUAAAAACAAAAACAAGGAAAGCAAAAACUGCCCAAGGUACCACAGCAUGUUUCCGUUCGACCACUGUUUCUGAAGGCUUUGGUACAUCACAUGAAGCCCAUCUGAGAAAUCAGAAGAUUCUCGUUCUCUGGGUGUGUUCUUCCCCAGGAAAGUGCCAGCCAGAAGAACCAUCCACUUUGGCUCCAGGAAAAGGAGGGUAACAGCCCUGCAGAGCUGCCUUUCGGAGUUUCUAACAGCUUUGGAUAGCCGCAGAGUGUGCCAAGAACAUUAUCUAGAAAAAUUAUAGGGCUAACUGAUUCUCCCCUGUAAGUAUUCCUCUGCAGUGGAACACUCACUUAGCGUGUUAGAAGCUCCAAGUUCACCCCCUAAUGCUGAAAAAAAAAAAGGCAUAGUGGUCACCUCAGCAGCACAUAUGCUAAUAUUGGCACAAUAUGGAGAAAAUUAGCAUGGCCCCCGUGCAAGGAUGGCCCCAAAAACUCACGAGGCUUCCUUUUUCUUUUUUUAAGGGUAUAGCAGGAGCUGGAAGGCGGGGACUGCCAGCCAUUAGGUGAUCAUAUCAGGGAAAUUCAAACAUAGAGAAGAGUUUCAUUUCCCUCCGUGCUUUGGGAUUUCUCACUGAACCCAGAACUCAGAUUCUACCAAACAGCUGUCCAGUGAGCUCGUGGCAUUCACCUGCCUGUGUCCCCAGUUAAGACUACAGGAGUACCACCACAGCCACAUUUUAAUGUGGGUCCUCAUGCAUGCACAGAAAGACUAAGCUGGACCUGAUGACACAGUCCUAUAACCUGAGUACUUGAGAUUUGGAGGUGGGAGAAUUUUGAAUUCAAGACCACCCUGGGCUCCACAUCAAGACUGUGUGGUAGGUAUUUUUGUGUCACUGUGACAAAAAACUGAGAGAAGCAACCUAAGGGAGGAAGUGCUCACUUAGGCACCCAGUUUCACAGUGCUUCAGCACACGCAGAAGAUGGAGGCAGGAGAUGCUCGCAUCCUGGCUGGCCUGGUACUUGCUAUGGAGACCAGACUGAUCUUACAUACACUCCAUGGUAUGCCUUCCUGCUUCUGCCUCCGGCGCACUGAAAUUAAAGGUGUGUGCCACUGUGCCCAGCUGUA
Non-coding RNA from Rattus norvegicus (Norway rat), 1986 nucleotides. The record is from RefSeq and is a predicted model, not a curated record. NCBI's taxonomy places the organism in Eukaryota, Metazoa, Chordata, Mammalia, Rodentia, Muridae.